RNAcentral lists this long non-coding RNA (475 nucleotides) under Equus asinus (donkey). RNAcentral describes it as "lncRNA (ENSEASG00005036584.1)". The record is from RNAcentral. Lineage: Eukaryota; Metazoa; Chordata; Mammalia; Perissodactyla; Equidae.
GAGGCACAGGGGGAUAGGUUAACCUGGAUGCCCAUCGGUUGGGGAGUCUGAAGGAAGGAGGCAAGACACACACUUCAAGCCAGGAGCCAGCCCAGAUCCAAAGUGAAACCUGGAUAACAGGAUGUUGAAUAGGCUUUUCCUGCUACCCCACAAUUUUACCUACAGUCCCAAAGCAGAGGACUCGGAGAUUACCCACAGAGCUUACUAAAAAGUAGACAAACUGUCCUUCAAUGCUUAUCUCCAGCCAGCCAACAGAAGCCAAAAACUGAAGUUUACUAUGGAGAGAUCUAUAAAGGGAGACAGGAAGUUUGGAGUUCUGGCAGCCAUCCUGGACCAUAACAUGAAGUGCUUAAAGACGGCAGCAUAGAAAUAUACAAGAAGCCCAGAUCCUUGAUGAUCAUGGAGCCACCAUGGACUGCUUACCCCUGGACUUCAUUUACAUGAAAGAAAAUAAAACCUUAUGUGUUUAAACCAC